GCGCCCGUAGCCCAAUGGCAGAGGCAGUCGGUUUAGGUCCGGCCCAGUGUGAGUUCGAAUCUCAUCGGGCGCA
Molecule: transfer RNA, 73 nt
Filed under: Nocardioidaceae bacterium
Lineage: Bacteria; Bacillati; Actinomycetota; Actinomycetes; Propionibacteriales; Nocardioidaceae
Also listed under: 2 other names
Description: tRNA-Leu
Rfam family: tRNA
About the family: Transfer RNA (tRNA) molecules are approximately 80 nucleotides in length. Their secondary structure includes four short double-helical elements and three loops (D, anti-codon, and T loops). Further hydrogen bonds mediate the characteristic L-shaped molecular structure. tRNAs have two regions of fundamental functional importance: the anti-codon, which is responsible for specific mRNA codon recognition, and the 3' end, to which the tRNAs corresponding amino acid is attached (by aminoacyl-tRNA synthetases). tRNAs cope with the degeneracy of the genetic code in two manners: having more than one tRNA (with a specific anti-codon) for a particular amino acid; and 'wobble' base-pairing, i.e. permitting non-standard base-pairing at the 3rd anti-codon position.
Source: RNAcentral